This 253-nucleotide ribosomal RNA is filed under the name uncultured bacterium. Its description in RNAcentral is "partial 16S ribosomal RNA". It matches the Rfam family "Bacterial small subunit ribosomal RNA", at positions 524 to 776 of the family's 1533-position model. The record is from RNAcentral.
UACAGAGGUCUCAAGCGUUGUUCGGAUUCAUUGGGCGUAAAGGGUGCGUAGGUGGCGCGGUAAGUCGGGUGUGAAAUCUCGGAGCUUAACUCCGAAAUUGCAUUCGAUACUGCCGUGCUUGAGGACUGGAGAGGAGACUGGAAUUCAUGGUGUAGCAGUGAAAUGCGUAGAUAUCGUAAGGAAGGCCGGUGGCGAAAGCGAGCCUCUGGACAGUUACUGACGCUGAUGCACGAAGGCCAGGGGAGCAAACGGG